ACCCAUGGCAAGUUCCGAGCGGAGAGAGGUAGCUUGCUACUGAUCUUAGCGGCGGACGGGUGAGUAAUGCUUAGGAAUCUGCCUAUUAGUGGGGGACAACAUUUCGAAAGGAAUGCUAAUACCGCAUACGUCCUACGGGAGAAAGCAGGGGAUCUUCGGACCUUGCGCUAAUAGAUGAGCCUAAGUCGGAUUAGCUAGUUGGUGGGGUAAAGGCCUACCAAGGCGACGAUCUGUAGCGGGUCUGAGAGGAUGAUCCGCCACACUGGGACUGAGACACGGCCCAGACUCCUACGGGAGGCAGCAGUGGGGAAUAUUGGACAAUGGGCGCAAGCCUGAUCCAGCCAUGCCGCGUGUGUGAAGAAGGCCUUAUGGUUGUAAAGCACUUUAAGCGAGGAGGAGGCUACUUUAGUUAAUACCUAGAGAUAGUGGACGUUACUCGCAGAAUAAGCACCGGCUAACUCUGUGCCAGCAGCCGCGGUAAUACAGAGGGUGCAAGCGUUAAUCGGAUUUACUGGGCGUAAAGCGCGCGUAGGCGGCUAAUUAAGUCAAAUGUGAAAUCCCCGAGCUUAACUUGGGAAUUGCAUUCGAUACUGGUUAGCUAGAGUGUGGGAGAGGAUGGUAGAAUUCCAGGUGUAGCGGUGAAAUGCGUAGAGAUCUGGAGGAAUACCGAUGGCGAAGGCAGCCAUCUGGCCUAACACUGACGCUGAGGUGCGAAAGCAUGGGGAGCAAACAGGAUUAGAUACCUGGGUAGGUCCAAAAA
RNAcentral lists this ribosomal RNA (760 nucleotides) under Acinetobacter calcoaceticus. RNAcentral's name for it is "bacterial SSU rRNA". It matches the Rfam family "Bacterial small subunit ribosomal RNA", at positions 51 to 805 of the family's 1533-position model. Lineage: Bacteria; Pseudomonadati; Pseudomonadota; Gammaproteobacteria; Moraxellales; Moraxellaceae. The record is from RNAcentral.